UCGGUUGGCUAAUGCUGAGGGGGUGCCUGGCCACGCGGGACUUGCUCUCUCGCCGGAUCCAGGGAUGGUCCUCCCCGACCCAUUGCAGCCUCUGUGGGGGAGCAGAGGAGACAGCCGACCACCUCUUUCUCUCUUGCCCGGCCACCGGCGGCCUUCGAUCCUUUUUCCGGUCAGCUCUCGGAGUUCGGGGGGUCUCCACCUCCAUCGCUCAGGCCUG
Molecule: unclassified non-coding RNA, 217 nt
Filed under: Hevea brasiliensis (rubber tree)
Lineage: Eukaryota; Viridiplantae; Streptophyta; Magnoliopsida; Malpighiales; Euphorbiaceae
Source: RNAcentral